This 107-nucleotide non-coding RNA is filed under the name unclassified sequences. RNAcentral's name for it is "cow-rumen-2 RNA". It matches the Rfam family "cow-rumen-2 RNA". Rfam says of the family: cow rumen metagenome. Environment (Cow rumen (57)) The record is from Rfam by way of RNAcentral.
AUCGAAGGUGAUAGUAGCGAUAUCAUCAUAAAAGCCGCCAUUGGCGUCAUGGAAUGUAGCCGGAGUACAGGAUGACCGACCCGUAAGUCCAUGAAUAAGUCCCGAGA